RNAcentral lists this ribosomal RNA (378 nucleotides) under uncultured organism. RNAcentral's name for it is "partial 16S ribosomal RNA". It matches the Rfam family "Bacterial small subunit ribosomal RNA", at positions 527 to 896 of the family's 1533-position model. The record is from RNAcentral.
GUAGGUGGCAAGCGUUGUCCGGAUUUACUGGGCGUAAAGGGAGCGCAGGUGGCUCAUCAAGUCUGGGGUGAAAUCUCCCGGCUCAACCGGGAGGGGUCUCUGGAUACUGAUGGGCUUGAGGGAAGCAGAGGAAAGCGGAAUUCCCGGUGUAGCGGUGAUAUGCGUAGAUAUCGGGAGGAACACCAGUGGCGAAGGCGGCUUUUCUGGGCUUUUUCCUGACGCUGAGGCUCGAAAGCGUGGGGAGCGAACCGGAUUAGAUACCCGGGUAGUCCACGCCGUAAACGUUGGACACUAGGUGUGGGGGGUAUUGACCCCCCCCCUCCCGUGCCGCAGCUAACGCAUUAAGUGUCCCGCCUGGGGAGUACGGCCGCAAGGCUA